Molecule: ribosomal RNA, 497 nt
Filed under: uncultured bacterium
Lineage: Bacteria
Description: partial 16S ribosomal RNA
Rfam family: Bacterial small subunit ribosomal RNA
Source: RNAcentral
GAUGAACGCUGGCGGCGUGCCUAAUACAUGCAAGUCGAGCGAACAGAUGAGGAGCUUGCUCCUCUGACGUUAGCGGCGGACGGGUGAGUAACACGUGGAUAACCUACCUAUAAGACUGGGAUAACUUCGGGAAACCGGAGCUAAUACCGGAUAAUAUAUUGAACCGCAUGGUUCAAUAGUGAAAGACGGUUUUGCUGUCACUUAUAGAUGGAUCCGCGCCGCAUUAGCUAGUUGGUCAGGUAACGGCUUACCAAGGCAACGAUGCGUAGCCGACCGGAGAGGGGGAUCGGCCACACGGGAACUGAGACACGGUCCAGACUACUACGGGAGGCAGCAGUAGGGAAUCUUCCGCAAUGGGCGAAAGCCUGACGGAGCAACGCCGCGUGAGUGAUGAAGGUCUUCGGAUCGUAAAACUCUGUUAUUAGGGAAGAACAAAUGUGUAAGUAACUAUGCACGUCUUGACGGUACCUAAUCAGAAAGCCACGGCUAACUACGUG